This 431-nucleotide ribosomal RNA is filed under the name uncultured bacterium. Its description in RNAcentral is "partial 16S ribosomal RNA". It matches the Rfam family "Bacterial small subunit ribosomal RNA", at positions 29 to 507 of the family's 1533-position model. The record is from RNAcentral.
AACGAACGCUGGCGGCAGGCUUAACACAUGCAAGUCGAACGCCCCGCAAGGGGAGUGGCAGACGGGUGAGUAACGCGUGGGAACAUACCCUUUCCUGCGGAAUAGCUCCGGGAAACUGGAAUUAAUACCGCAUACGCCCUACGGGGGAAAGAUUUAUCGGGGAAGGAUUGGCCCGCGUUGGAUUAGCUAGUUGGUGGGGUAAAGGCCUACCAAGGCGACGAUCCAUAGCUGGUCUGAGAGGAUGAUCAGCCACAUUGGGACUGAGACACGGCCCAAACUCCUACGGGAGGCAGCAGUGGGGAAUAUUGGACAAUGGGCGCAAGCCUGAUCCAGCCAUGCCGCGUGAGUGAUGAAGGCCUUAGGGUUGUAAAGCUCUUUCACCGAUGAAGAUAAUAACGGUAGUCGGAGAAGAAGCCCCGGCUAACUUCGUG